Ictidomys tridecemlineatus (thirteen-lined ground squirrel) is the source of this 3296-nucleotide non-coding RNA. The record is from RefSeq and is a predicted model, not a curated record. Lineage: Eukaryota; Metazoa; Chordata; Mammalia; Rodentia; Sciuridae.
CAUCAUGUCCCAAUAACCCAGAGGAAUGAAUCUUGAGGAGAAUUAGUGACUUCUCAGAAUCACAAAACCAAUCACCAAAGGUGCUGGAUUUGGACCCAAGUGUAUUCUUUGACCCAAUUCUCCUUCUACACAACACCAACCUCAUUAUUUCUGUAAUCAGAGAACACGAAACAUAAACACAUUGUGCCUAUUUGUACCAAAGUUUCAUUAUUAUACUCAAGAGCACACUGGGGAACAGUGCUUCACAAUAACAAUUUCUGUAAGGCAGAGGUGCCAGCAUUAUUAUUUUUCUUUGUAAAAAUAAAUUGCACUCUUAAUUUCAAGAAAUCAUGUCAGAGUGAGAAGUUUCUCUUGCCUGCAAUAUCUCUUCCUGUCCUGUUACCUGUGCCUGAAAUCAGGUCGUCUGUUGGAAGUUACUUAAGGAAAGAUUUCCAAAGACCUCCCAGAAUAGAAUAAAGAAGAUAUCAGCUUGGACCCUGAAUGUUUUCUUGCUUUAUCUGUGGAAAGAAAAAAAUCUCAAAUCUUGGUAGUUUAUUUGAUGAUGGCCCAAUAUUGGCUGCUCUUUCUAGAAUUCACUAACUCUCUUGACUCUGCAGAUGGGGAGGAAAAAUCUUACCUGUUUAAAGUGAACUAAUACACACAUCGUUAAACAUGCAGCUCAAGCUCAUACCAGCCUAAGCUCCUUUUCAGCAUCCUCUGUGAGGACGCACAGCCAAGCUCACUAAAGGAAUUCAGGCUGUGCAUCCUGCUCUCAAGACCCCACACCUGCUGCCAAGGUUCUGUCUUGAUUCUCACACACCCCUUACCCUAUUCCCCACAGCUUCUGCUCUACUCUGAGACCUACAGCAAGUGCCAGCUUUUUCUUCAGGCCUUCUCAGUGUCAACUAUAGAACCACCCCCUUCUAAUAAUUAGUGUUCUUUGAAGGAAGAGAGGCACCUUCAAGAACUGUGCACAAGGGCAAAUCCACUUGCUUUUCUUCAAAGGCACUUGACAUACACUUGGCAAGUUCAUCCACUUGAGCGAAGGAAGAGUGAAGUGUGAUGCUUGCCUUCUGAACAGAGCUGUUCUACAUGUACAUGAUUUUAAAGCCUCAAGUCACACUAUAUCAAAUGUUAAAGUAUAUUCAUAUCUCAGUUAAAUAUAGUGCAGAUAUACAGAUUUGUUUAUGGACACUCCUACAUAUGCACAUAUACGUGCAUAUUUUUGUACACACGUCAGCAUGCUCAUUAUGUAUGUAUAUGAAGUGAGUUCUAGUGUGCUAGUUAACAUGCUGUUCUAUUUUGUACAUAUUAAAUUGACCAUAUCAAUUUCAAUUUUCCAGUUUUCUCUUUUACUUUAGAGCCAGUACUGCUUUAAGGACAUCAUUUUCACGAGGUCCCUAUUGCGUCAUUGGCUGUAGGCAAUGGGGCUGGAGUUCCUGAAGGUCAAGGCAGACUUGUGGCCGUGGCAGGAUGGACUUACCCCUGGCCAUGACUGGGGAGUAGACACGAGCCUGUGGCUCUCCCCGGCAGCCCAGACUCCUGGGAGAGAGGACAUUUGGGGGAAUAGUGACUGUGUUGACACAGACCUUAGGUUACACUCCUCACUGCUGUUUCCACUUGUCCUGGUUUUUCCUAACGUCCUCUUUUGCUCUGAGAUUUUCCAGGAUUUUUCACACCACUUAGGGGAUUUGGAGAUGGAAAUUUUGAGUAAAAUGUGUUCACUCAUUUUCAUGUUAUGCAAGAGUGAAAACAAAAAAAGCCUCAAACUCAAUUUAGGAUGGAGUGGGAUGGGGUGGAGUGGCGCCCAUGCACGAAAAACUCCAAACUGCUCAAUUGCAAAAAGUAAAACAUUGCCUGAGCUUAAUUUUUGGUGUGGGAGUUUCUCUGGGGGAGGGGAGUUUGGAAAAUAUGACGGCAUUUUAAAGCAAAUAAGAAACACCAUUGACACGAGUCCCCACUGCCAUAGAUCUGAGCACUGUGUCCCUUUCCAUGUUUCUAGCUGAUGAACAGAGGGAGCUGAUGGGUCUGGAAGUCACUGCUGUGGUUUCUGAGAGUGACGGAAUGAUUUUCGGAAUUUAAGGCCGCACUUUCCACUCCUUCUUCCCCAUCCUCUUCCAAUGCCUCUGUGAUUAUACAUCCCUAUCUCUAUUUUAUAUUUUGAUUUUUUUGUUGUUGUUGUUUGCUUCAGGUAACAUUCUGGACUGUGUUCAACCUCCAAGACAAAGCUGUAAAAUUUCCUACUUGAAGAACAAGGACCUUUUAAUGCUUGUCCCAUGGAAGACAAUUCAGCAUGGCCUGAGACAGUUGCUAGGCAUCUGUGCAUGAAUUAGCUGCAGCUUAAACUCUCUGGGAAUUGUCCCCACACCCAUUUCUUUCACAUCUGUUUAAGGAUGCUGAGGAAAUCAUCUUGUAUUUGUAAUUAUCCAUCCCACACACUUUUGUAUAAAUAUGCAUUUCCUCUUUCAGCAAAUGUCUACCACUCCGGUAGCUCAUGUCCAUCCAUGGGUUAAAUGACAGGAAGAAAGAAAGCUAGACCCGUGCCUGUGUGGUCUCUGUUCAGCCAGGCUGGGGAACACAGGUGACUGUCCAUGAAAGGAACAUGGACACUCAUCCACUCACUCCAUGAAUGCGGAUCCUUAAGGGACGGGCACCACUGCUUGGGCCCACUACCUGUUGUCUCCAGGGUUGCAAGCUCCAAGAGAAAAAGAGCUCUCCCUCCUUCCUUGUGUUGCUUGGCUCCACUUCACUUCCAAAUUCUGCUAGCGAGAAGGUGGUUGCUUUGAUGUUACAUUGCAGUGUGCGUCAAUAAAUUCUUCCCCAAACUUGAACUUCUGGAAGAAUCACUUGGUGUGAAUACAUUAAAGUCCACUGAAGCAUUCUAUGCUGGUGGCUACCUGGGGCAUUUCCACACUGGGGUGUUGUGGAUACUCGUACCUGCUGUGCGGAAGAGUAAGAGUUUUAUCUAGAAUCUGCCACUAGCAUAGAAGAACUGGAUCCUAGGAUACUUGAGUUUUCAGCUUUGGGAGAUAAAACCCAGCUGUUUCCUCAAAUGAUUAUACCAAUUUACACUCCAACCAGCAGUGAAUGAAACAGCUUACCAAAGCUGGUACUGCCCAGCUUCAAAAACUUUUGAUGUUCAGCUUCAUAUUAUGGUUUUCAAUUUCAAUAUUCAUUCUAAAAAGUCACUGAAAUUGAACAGCCUCUCAUAAGCUUAGGACCAAUUUGGAGGGACCUGUUUAUAUCUUUUCACCAUUAUUUGUAAUAAUUUGUAUUUUUCUUAAGGAUACAAAUAUUUAUUUACCUAUUCUGGUUUG